This 117-nucleotide small RNA is filed under the name Phyllobacterium endophyticum. RNAcentral describes it as "Alphaproteobacterial ar14". It matches the Rfam family "Alphaproteobacterial ar14". Rfam says of the family: Smr14C2 was renamed NfeR1 (Nodule Formation Efficiency RNA) highly expressed in salt stress and during the symbiotic interaction on legume roots. Lineage: Bacteria; Pseudomonadati; Pseudomonadota; Alphaproteobacteria; Hyphomicrobiales; Phyllobacteriaceae. The record is from Rfam by way of RNAcentral.
AAAUACCCCAACGGCACUCCUCCUCCCGGCCGUAGGGGAAGCAAGACUUCAUGGCUCCUCCCGCCUGGUCUUGCGCUGAUGGAAAAAGGCCGGAUCCUCCCCCGGCCUUUUUCUUUU